This 345-nucleotide ribosomal RNA is filed under the name Triticum aestivum (bread wheat). RNAcentral describes it as "partial small subunit ribosomal RNA". Lineage: Eukaryota; Viridiplantae; Streptophyta; Magnoliopsida; Poales; Poaceae. The record is from RNAcentral.
AUGGAUAGCCGAGGUCUGGAUCGUGUCAACCACGCACUCCUGGUGCUCAUUCCUAAGGCAUUAGGUGCAGAUGCCUUGGAGAAUUUUAUGCCAAUCUCCUUACUUCAUAGCAUAAUCAAAAUCUUCUCAAAGAUCCUUGCUUUGCGGCUAGCCCCAAAACUCAACGCCCUGGUGGAUCAAUGUCAGAGUGUGUUCAUCAAAAAGCGCAGCAUACAAGAGAAUUUCCUAUACGUCCAGAACACUGCGAGACUCUUCCAUAAGUCUAGGAAACCUGCUUUUCUCCUUAAGCUUGACUUGGCAAAAGCCUUCGACUCGAUUUCUUGGGCCUAUCUCCUGGACAUGCUC